UACGGGGGGGGCAAGCGUUGUCCGGAAUUAUUGGGCGUAAAGAGCUCGUAGGCGGCUUGUCACGUCUGCUGUGAAAUCCCGGGGCUCAACCCCGGGCGUGCAGUGGAUACGGGCUGGCUAGAGGCAGGCAGGGGAGAACGGAAUUCCCGGUGUAGCGGUGAAAUGCGCAGAUAUCAGGAGGAACACCAAUAGCGAAGGCAGCUCGCUGGGACGGUACUGACGCUAAGGCGCGAAAGCGUGGGGAGCGAACAGG
RNAcentral lists this ribosomal RNA (253 nucleotides) under uncultured bacterium. RNAcentral's name for it is "partial 16S ribosomal RNA". It matches the Rfam family "Bacterial small subunit ribosomal RNA", at positions 524 to 776 of the family's 1533-position model. The record is from RNAcentral.